UUAGAGUUUGAUCCUGGCUCAGGAUGAACGCUAGCGGGAGGCUUAACACAUGCAAGUCGAGGGGCAGCACGAUGUAGCAAUACGUUGGUGGCGACCGGCGCACGGGUGAGUAACACGUAUGCAACCUACCCUGUACAGGGGGAUAACCCGGAGAAAUUCGGACUAAUACCGCAUAAUGAUAUUUGAGGGCAUCCUUAGAUAUUUAAAGCUUCGGUGGUACGGGAUGAGCAUGCGGAACAUUAGCUAGUUGGCAGGGUAAUGGCCUACCAAGGCAAUGAUGUUUAGGGGACCUGAGAGGGUGAUCCCCCACACUGGUACUGAGACACGGACCAGACUCCUACGGGAGGCAGCAGUGAGGAAUAUUGGUCAAUGGGCGGAAGCCUGAACCAGCCAUCCCGCGUGCAGGAAGACGGCCCUAUGAGUUGUAAACUGCUUUUCCAGGGGGCGAAACUUUCCGAUGUAUCGGGAUUUGACGGUACCCUGGGAAUAAGCAUCGGCUAACUCCGUGCCAGCAGCCGCGGUAAUACGGAGGAUGCGAGCGUUAUCCGGAUUUAUUGGGUUUAAAGGGUGCGUAGGCGGAUCGAUAAGUCAGUGGUGAAACCCUGCAGCUUAACUGUAGACUUGCCGUUGAUACUGUUGGUCUUGAGUGUGGUCAAGGUAGGCGGAAUGUGUAAUGUAGCGGUGAAAUGCUUAGAUAUUACACAGAACACCGAUUGCGAAGGCAGCUUACUGGGCCAUUACUGACGCUGAUGCACGAAAGCGUGGGGAUCGAACAGGAUUAGAUACCCUGGUAGUCCACGCCGUAAACG
RNAcentral lists this ribosomal RNA (809 nucleotides) under uncultured bacterium. RNAcentral's name for it is "bacterial SSU rRNA". It matches the Rfam family "Bacterial small subunit ribosomal RNA", at positions 1 to 808 of the family's 1533-position model. The record is from RNAcentral.